UGGGUUGUGGCUCAGUGGUAGAGUACUUGCCUAGCAUGUGUGAGGCACUGGGUUCAAUCCUCAGCACCACAU
This 72-nucleotide transfer RNA is filed under the name Ictidomys tridecemlineatus (thirteen-lined ground squirrel). RNAcentral's name for it is "Spermophilus tridecemlineatus (thirteen-lined ground squirrel) tRNA". It matches the Rfam family "tRNA". Rfam says of the family: Transfer RNA (tRNA) molecules are approximately 80 nucleotides in length. Their secondary structure includes four short double-helical elements and three loops (D, anti-codon, and T loops). Lineage: Eukaryota; Metazoa; Chordata; Mammalia; Rodentia; Sciuridae. The record is from Rfam by way of RNAcentral. RNAcentral also lists the same sequence under 2 other names.